AGUGAACGCUGGCGGUAGGCCUAACACAUGCAAGUCGAACGGCAGCACAGUAAGAGCUUGCUCUUACGGGUGGCGAGUGGCGGACGGGUGAGGAAUACAUCGGAAUCUACUUUUUCGUGGGGGAUAACGUAGGGAAACUUGCGCUAAUACCGCAUACGACCUACGGGUGAAAGCAGGGGAUCUUCGGACCUUGCGCGAUUGAAUGAGCCGAUGUCGGAUUAGCUAGUUGGCGGGGUAGAGGCCCACCAAGGCGACGAUCCGUAGCUGGUCUGAGAGGAUGACUGGAAAAAGGGGGAAAGAGAGACGGCCCAGACGCGGAAGGGAGGAAGAGGGGGGGAAGAUGGAAAAAGGGGCGGAAGAAUGAUGCAGCAACGAGGCGUACGGGAGGACGGCCUGAGGGUGGUAAAACGCUUACGACUGUGAAGAAGCGUGAGAGAAGGUAAUGGAUAAAGAAGAACAGGCUAACUACGUG
RNAcentral lists this ribosomal RNA (472 nucleotides) under uncultured bacterium. RNAcentral describes it as "partial 16S ribosomal RNA". It matches the Rfam family "Bacterial small subunit ribosomal RNA", at positions 30 to 507 of the family's 1533-position model. The record is from RNAcentral.